UAACAAGGAUUCCCCUAGUAACGGCGAGUGAAGAGGGAAGAGCUCAAAUUUGAAAGCUGGUACCUUCGGUAUCCGCGUUGUAACCUCGAGACACGUUUUCCGUGCGGCGCUAUGGACAAGUUCCUUGGAACAGGACAUCGUAGAGGGUGAAAAUCCCGUACUUGCCAUGGAUGUACCGUGCUUUGCGAUACGUGCUCUAAGAGUCGAGUUGUUUGGGAUUGCAGCUCAAAAUGGGUGGUAGACUCCAUCUAAAGCUAAAUAUCGGGGAGAGACCGAUAGCGAACAAGUACCGUGAGGGAAAGAUGAAAAGCACUUUGGAAAGAGAGUUAAAAGUACGUGAAAUUGUCGAAAGGGAAGCGCUUGAAGUCAGCCAUGCCGCUCAGGACUCAGCCUGGCUUUUGCUUGGUGUAUUUCCUGGGUAGCAAGUCAGCAUUGGUUUGGAUCGUCGGAGAAGCAUAGUUGGAAUGUGGCGCCCUCGGGCGUGUUAUAGCCUUCUAUUGGAUACGACGAUCUAGACCAAGGAACGCAGCGCGCCUUAUGGCGGGUCUUCGGACACCUUCGCGCUUAGGAUGCUGGCGUAAU
This 582-nucleotide ribosomal RNA is filed under the name Malassezia sp. RNAcentral describes it as "partial large subunit ribosomal RNA". It matches the Rfam family "Eukaryotic large subunit ribosomal RNA", at positions 66 to 635 of the family's 3401-position model. Lineage: Eukaryota; Fungi; Basidiomycota; Malasseziomycetes; Malasseziales; Malasseziaceae. The record is from RNAcentral.